Molecule: ribosomal RNA, 253 nt
Filed under: uncultured bacterium
Lineage: Bacteria
Description: partial 16S ribosomal RNA
Rfam family: Bacterial small subunit ribosomal RNA
Source: RNAcentral
UACGUAGGGGGCAAGCGUUGUCCGGAAUCAUUGGGCGUAAAGCGCGUGUAGGCGGCUAGGUAAGUCUGCUCUGAAAGCUCGGGGCUCAACCCCGGGAGGCGGGUGGAUACUGUCUAGCUCGAGUCCGGAAGAGGAGUGUGGAAUUCCUGGUGUAGCGGUGAAAUGCGCAGAUAUCAGGAGGAACACCAAUGGCGAAGGCAGCACUCUGGGACGUGACUGACGCUGAGACGCGAAAGCGUGGGGAGCAAACAGG